AGAAAAAAAACACCCGCGCCGCCCUGCCUCCAAAUCCUAUCUCCACCUCCAGCGCGCCGCCGCCUCCUACCACGGCACGCCUCGCCUCCCUCCUCUCGCUCGCUCCCUCAUCCCGCACCUCCACCUCGUCCUCGUUGACCCGCGCCACCAGAGCCCAGCAGGUCGACGACCGCUCCUUCCUCGCCUCCGCGUCCGCCCCCGCUCAAGCAUCUCCACCGGAGCGCGCCCGUCCUGGAGCUCGUCCGCCUCCCUAAGUUGCCGCCCUAGCCUCGGUUCUGGCGGGUUCCGUGCGCCCUCGCCCGGCCAAGUCCCCGCCGCCAAGAUCCUGCUUUCACCGCGUCGCUCCGCCCUGCAUCGACUCGCUGCCGCCUCGUCUCCCCGUCAUCAUGGCCCGACGCCCACGCCUCUGCUGCUUCGUCGCCAGCCUCCAGCGCCUCCGCCGGCCUGGUUCGCCUCGCCGCUGCUGCUCUGCAAGCCCGCCGCACUUCUGCUCCGCCCUGCGCCCCGACGCCCGAGUUGUUGCUCCCUUCGGCUGCCUCCCAUGGCGCUGCUGCCAUCCACGGCUGCUCUGUUGCCGUCGCCUUGCUGCCCGUGCCCCUCCUCUCGUGCUGGCCUCCUUAAGGCUCCGACCGGCUACGUCCAUUGCACCACCUUGGCCAUGGUUUGCCGCUGCCUAGACCACCUUCAGCCGGGUGCCCCGCCUCGCGACUCACCGGCGACGGCACGCAGGCUCUCCCGCCAAUCAUCACUGGCGGCGACGGUCGACACGGAGGGAGGACGACGGCAUGCAAAGACGCCUCGGGGGAGAGAAGGCAGGUUGCCGGAGCACCAAAACAACGUGGCCGUGGUUGUCUGUUUGUUCACUUGCAAUUCAGUAAUGUUCUUUUUCGUUCAAAGAAUUAUUAUUCUGUUGCAAUGAAGUUCUGGUUUAUAUCUUGCGUGCAGUUCAGCUGGGUGAUUCUGUGCACUGAAUUUUCCAGUUAGUACAUCGGAUGUAAUGUACUCCUAGAGAUAGGAAUUAGUUUCAAGCACUAUGAUUUUACAUCGAGAUGAUGUUUCUUUGUAACAGAGACGAUGAACAACAUGGGAAUGAUGGGGAUGCGGCCUAUAGAUGGUUGCUAUGGAUCUGGAGGUUGAUACUGAACAUGAGUUUACUACAGAUCUGGAGUAGUAAUAUUGGAUUACAGGUCACAUGUUAGAAGUUAACUGCAGAAUAUUGAGCACGGGUUAGUAGUUCAUUACUGAAUAGACAUUCAGUAAUUAACUGCAGAGCAUUUGGUCUUUGGGGUACAUGUGAAACAGAACAUCAGAUUUUAAUCCACAUGCUCUGUUUUUUCCUUCAUAAGUACAUACUCUGUACAUCAUAUAGUUCUGUGUUGUCUUGAAGUUCUCUCCUGCAAAUUUAAUAAUGUGCCCAAGAAAUUCGUGCUUAGUAACCAGGAUUGCAAAAAACUUUCAAAACUGUAAUCGUAUGGUUCCCUUCCAUUGACAUUGUAAUUGGUAUGUGCCAGUCUGUAUGGUGUAUAGAUUGGAGUGGAGUUAGGGGGAACCAGUGCAUAAUUUUAAGUUGCAGCUUGCUAAUUGUACUAAUUUGUCGGUGUGUGUGCCGCGUUUUCCUGAAACAUGCAAAAAAAUGGACAACUUUUCCAGAGUAUGAAGGUGGUUAGCUAGCACCAUUUGGAACAAGUACAUCAAAUCUUGGAUCUGAAGUGUCCAAUUUGCAACUUUAAAAAUUGUUUCAGAAAAUACGCAAGGUUUGGCAAUAAUUUAGUAAGCAAUUUUCAUGACUGAUGGGCUGGCACUGGAAUUGUCUGAUUGCCGAGUGUGACCCCUGUCAUGAAGGCCUCUACACUAAACUUAAUAAAAAUAUAUUUAUCUUGUAUUGAAAAAUAUAAGAAAAGGGCACACUGAGAGUUGUCUCAAGGUGUACAUUAGUGGUUGGAUGUACUUAAUUUUUAUCAAGGAAGAAUAGCUACUAUACAACAGAAAAAAUAUAAGAAAAGGUAAACUAAUAUCAUGGUGAAGGCAGAGAGGUAAUGCAUUGUUCAUGGUAUUGUAUGCACGAGCAUUGGUUAAAUAAUUUUUGGUGUUCUAACUCUCUGAGAUAAUUUACAUCUCUAUUUGUGCUAAUUGGCAAGGUGCAUGAACAAUUAUUUACCUAUGGUUUUUGCUUAAUGGAAAAGCCUUUUUUAGUUUUAAAAACCUAUUAAAUUUGAUCAACAGAAUAAGACUCUUUUUUGUUAAUCUUGGUAAGAACAGUGCCAUAUGGUUCCACUCUACAUCUUUGUACUUAAUUAGCCGAAGGUGCGCAUUAGUGCUUGAGACCAGUGCUAUAUAGUUCCACUCUAUAUCUCUGUACUUAAUUGGCUGAAGGUGUGCAUUAGUGCUUGAGAUCAGUGCUAUAUAGUUCCACUCUACGUCUCCUUAAUUGGCUGAAGAUGUGCAUUAGUGCUUGAGACCAAUGCUAUAUGGUUCCACUCUACAUGUCUGAAUGUGUACAUUAGUUGUUGGCUGUGUUAAUAUAAAUAGUAAGUUUUCAUAUUAUAUCAGCUAGAAGAGCUUCACAGAAAUUUGGUACAGGAGUUGCAACUGUCUUGAUCAAGUGCUUUUAUUAUAUUAUUCUUUCUUGGUUAAACUUUGUAAGAAUCUUGCUCAUGUUCAGUGGUAUCACGUACUAAAGAUCUUACUAUUUUUUUAAUUAACUAAGAUCUUGACUAUUUUGGUGUCAAGAUCCAAUAGCCUUGCUGUUAGUUAAUGCUCUAUUUAUAUUUUCUUCUAACAAAACAAAUGUAUGUUUCCAGCAAUAAAACUCGUAGGUUCCAGCAAAAAUAAUGACUCGCCGUAGCUGGGUCGCAGCAAAAAGUUUGGCCGGUCCCAGCAAAAAAAUCGCUGUCGCGGUCACAGGAGCAGUUUUGGAGGUUUGAUGGUGUGCUUGAGCGAGGAUACCACACUACUUGUCUUGGAUGGCCGGAACAUAUUGCUGGCCAUCUCACACUCAGGUUGCAGCAAUUGGAUGUGCCCUGUGAAACCUGCAGCAUACGGGCAUUGGAAGCGGCGGUAUGGCAGUCUGAAUCCUGACGUUCUUGGGAGUGCAGGUUGGGCGUUUGUCGGAAAUAGGGGAGACCCAUAGCUCCUUAAAAAAAGGAGAAGAAGGGCUAUCUCGCUUGUCUGAAAUCAACAGGAGCUCAGUCUGGAAAAUGCUGGAUAUUCUAGAAGAAAUACUUGCGAUGUAGGAUAGCCAUUGUUUGCAUGCUUCCUCCAUGUGGUGCAUUUGGUUCCUAAGCCAUCCUCUCAAGCUCCCACUUGCACAGUUGUGAUCCCUGGGUUUGGGAAGCCAGGUUUGCAGAAGAAAUCGAGGGGCUCAGGUCUGCAAUCAAGGGAGUCUGCAUGGUGGUCUCUGUUAUUUGAAGGAAAUGUGCUCGGGAAUGAGCCAUUGGCUAAAUUGCUUGGUGAUCUCAAGGAUGUGCUCUAUGAUGUGGGCGUCGUGGUAGAUGACAAGCUCUGGCCACUACAGGCUCCAACAAGGUAGAAUUAAUUUAGUUGUCGUUUUAUAUUGCAAAACACGGUGAAAUUAUAAUUUAUCCGAGUUUCUUUGUUUAGGUGGUGCUGUAGAAAUAGCCAAUGCCAAUGUUACUGUGAAAUUUUUUGUUCAGUUCGUACGAGUCCUGAUUUGCUUCCCAUGCAAAAAAAAAAAAAGAAGAAACUGUUUGGCUUGUCGGGUCUGUGAGUUGUACUGCACCGAACAUGCAACUUUUGGCAUGGUUUGGUUUCAAAACUUAAAGAAGCUAGGGAGUUUCACUAUCCCAUUAUUUUGUGCAACUAUUUGGCAUCGAUUUGAUGUUGAUAUACCGCCAACAAGUAGCGGUCGUGGCAAGAGGCAACACUCUUAAGACAUGUGACCAUUUUUGUAAUCAUAAGAGAUGGUAAUGGAAACCUUGUGGAGGUAGAAUGCAAA
This is a long non-coding RNA of Triticum aestivum (bread wheat), 3955 nucleotides long. RefSeq lists it as uncharacterized. The transcript has 5 exons. The record is from RefSeq and is a predicted model, not a curated record. NCBI's taxonomy places the organism in Eukaryota, Viridiplantae, Streptophyta, Magnoliopsida, Poales, Poaceae.